RNAcentral lists this small RNA (32 nucleotides) under Bombyx mori (domestic silkworm). Its description in RNAcentral is "ovarian small RNA-25155". Lineage: Eukaryota; Metazoa; Arthropoda; Insecta; Lepidoptera; Bombycidae. The record is from RNAcentral.
UCACCGCGGUGACUAAGUCGCGCACGAGCGCA